This is a non-coding RNA of Nelumbo nucifera (sacred lotus), 81 nucleotides long. The record is from Rfam. Lineage: Eukaryota; Viridiplantae; Streptophyta; Magnoliopsida; Proteales; Nelumbonaceae.
CUGUAAGGGGAAUGAUGUAUUACUAUAAGGCUCUCAAGAUGCUGGCAUUCCUUGAUUCUGCAUCCGAGAUGGAGAUCAGGG